GAGGUAUGAACCACGGCAGAAUGUCACGAUUCUGAACAUUAAUUAUUUGUGCUGCAUUCGCAAAAGACCGAAGAGCCUUCGAAGAACUUGGGAAAAUGAUGCUGCAAACAGCGUUUUGGCUGUUGUUGGGCUUGCUGUUCGUUUGGCUGUUGUUCAAUUACCUUAGCAAAAUCGUCGAUGCUUUGUGGGAGAUCUUGACGCUUUUCAUCGACACGAAACCGGUCGAUUUGCGCUCCAAGUUUGGCGAAUGGGCAGUGGUGACAGGAUCUACCGAUGGAAUAGGCAAAGCUUACGCGAAGGAAUUGGCUGCGAGGCAGAUAAAUUUGGUGCUGAUCAGCCGAACGUUGGAGAAAUUGGAAAAAACUAGAAACGAGAUUUUGCAAGAUAAUCCAAGGAUCGAAGUGAAAAUCAUCGUGGCGGAUUUCAGCAAGGGAAAAGAAAUCUUUGCGAAACUUGCCGAACAACUGAAGGACAUUCCCAUAGGAAUCUUAGUGAACAACGUGGGUAUGCAAUAUAGCUACCCGAUGUAUCUUGGGGAAGUUCCGGAGGAUCAAUUGUGGGACAUCAUCAACGUGAACAUCGGCGCCACCACGUUAAUGACACGAUUAGUUAUCGGACAAAUGCAAGAACGUAGAAGAGGAGCGAUCGUCAACGUGUCGUCUGGUUCGGAACUGGUACCGUUGCCGUUGAUGAACGUCUACGCGGCAUCAAAAAUUUACAUUAGAAGCUUUACCGUUGCCCUUAGAGCCGAAUACUCUAGAUUCGGAAUAACUAUACAACAUUUAUCUCCAUUCUUCGUGAACACGAAGAUGAACGCGUUUAGCGAUCGACUACAGGUAUCCACCCUACUUGUGCCUAACGCAGUAACUUAUGCGAAAAAUGCGAUCGUCACUCUUGGAAAAAUGGAUUCGACUACAGGAAGAUCCAUAAAAACGGUUCGGACGGAGCAUCUCUGCGCGCGCAUUCCUGAAUCACGUGACCUCGACGAUCAAAUUCUCAGUAGAAGGAGGCGCUCAUUCUUCACCCAUGCGUCGCGAAGGGAAGACGUUCGAAUUUUCUAUACGCUUCAUAUCACGGGCAAGAUGAGUCAGUAGUUCAAGGAGAGCUUGCACACGCAAGUGUGCCGACACAACUAAUUAAUCAUGAAAGCCAACAUGGCGCUCAUUUUGAGCUGCGUCGCUCAGACGACAGAAAUUUCUUUUCAUCAUUUUUUAAUUCAUCUUGAUUGGGAUCGCAUCCAUAAUGACAUCCAGUCAGGACCAGGAGAUGU
Osmia bicornis bicornis is the source of this 1270-nucleotide RNA transcript. It is a transcript of the gene named inactive hydroxysteroid dehydrogenase-like protein 1, with no coding region annotated. The transcript is spliced from 7 exons. NCBI's taxonomy places the organism in Eukaryota, Metazoa, Arthropoda, Insecta, Hymenoptera, Megachilidae. The record is from RefSeq and is a predicted model, not a curated record.